AUACUGUCCAGUUCAGCAGCUGCUGACACGCGUGGCUGUAAAGCGUGUGUGGCCAGCUGAAUAAUGCUCUGCAAAGAUGUCUACACCCUAAUCCUCGUAUCUAUGGGGAGACCAAAUCAGAGAAGAGAAGGGACCCACCCCUGGUCCCAUAGCAAGCUUGCAGGGAGGGUCAACAGGAUCUCCUACAUCCCAAUGGAGGCGCUCCUGGACUCCCAAAGAGGACAGACACUUGAUGUCUCUCGUUUCCCCACAAAAGCCACAGCAAAAAUAGAAGAGGGCCGCAGAUGGAAGAAGAUGGAUUUUUGCAAGAUCUGAUGCCUGCCAUGCCCAGUUCACCCCGCCGUGACAAGUCUCAGGGAACAGACAUGUUAGGACACUGUGAGGUCUGAUGGCCCUGCACAUGUGACAGCUCUAUGAGGAGACUGGGUUUUAAGAGUUGAAGUGCUAUGCUCAGGGUCCCACAGCUGGUAAUCAGUGGAGUUGGCCUAUGAGACCCAGAGGUGAGUGCUUCCAACUGUAAUCUCUGCCCUGUGCAUCCUACAGGUAGACCCAGCCAGCCAGAGAGAUCACACCCCAAGGCCCAGAGGCAGGGGGCCAAGGGUGGGCAACUUGACAGUCAACAGGAAGGACGGGGGGCUGGGGGAGUAUGGUCCACCUGCUACACCCAUGAUGUCCACACUCCACAGCCUCACGGGUGUCUGUGCAGUGUGAUGCUAGCAGGGCAAGGACUGGAUAUGACUGGAGCCACGCCCCUUUCCUCAAUCUGCUAUUCCUAUGACUCUGUAUGAUGUCUUUCACUGUGUGCCACUUAUUUAAAUGUUGUGUUUGUGUGUGUGGUAUGUAUUUGCAAUUGUAUCUUUGUGUUGUGUUUCCGUGCAUUACGUUUGUGUGCAAUUUGCUGUUGGUGUACUCUGUUUCUCUUGUGCGCCUGUGUUACUGCGUUGUGGCUCCAUGCCUGUUUGUCUACUUUAUGUGUAUGUUUUGUUGUGUGUCCAUGCUGUGUACACGGUGUGUCUCUCCUAUGUAUCUAUGUCCAUACUCUGUAAUUGCCUCUUUAUUGUGUGUUGUGUCGUGUGUAUCAUGUGUUGUGAAUUUGUGUUUGUGCCGUGCGCGUUGUGGAUCUGUUUCUGUGUGUGCUCUCUACACCGCAAGUGCAGGAUGUUUGUGUGUUUCUGUCGUGCGAAUCCCGUUUGGGUUGUUCUAGGUCUGUGUCUACGCAGGGAGUCCGUGUGCAUCUGCACCUCCCCCUGUGUGUCUGUGCCAGCUGACGUCUGUGCCCUGCGCGCAGAGUUGUGUUUCCUCAACAAGUGUGUGCCGGCUCGGAGUGCCGCGCGCGCCUCCUCGUGUGCCCGCGUUGUGCCUGCGCCUCCGCCGGGCGGUCAUGCCG
Long non-coding RNA from Balaenoptera ricei (Rice's whale), 1387 nucleotides. RefSeq lists it as uncharacterized. NCBI's taxonomy places the organism in Eukaryota, Metazoa, Chordata, Mammalia, Artiodactyla, Balaenopteridae. The transcript has 6 exons. The record is from RefSeq and is a predicted model, not a curated record.